Molecule: ribosomal RNA, 72 nt
Filed under: Cichlidarus cichlidarum
Lineage: Eukaryota; Metazoa; Platyhelminthes; Monogenea; Gyrodactylidea; Gyrodactylidae
Description: partial 5.8S ribosomal RNA
Source: RNAcentral
CGAUCAUCGGUCUCUCGAACGCAAAUGGCAGCUAGGGGCUUGCUUCUAGCUACGUUUGAUCGAGUGUCGGCU